AUGAUGGUCCCUGCUCAGCUCCUGGGGCUCUUACUGCUCUGGAUCCCUGCAACAUGUGGGGAUAUUGUGAUGAUCCAGACUCCACUCAGCCUGCCCAUCACACUAGGACAGACAGCAACCCUCACCUGCAAGUCUAUUCAGAGCCUUGUGUAUGGUAAUGGAAAGACUUAUUUGUACUGGCACCAGCAGAAACCAGGCCAAGCAGCACGUCUCCUGAUCUAUCAGUUUCUACUUGGUUCACUGGGGUCCCAGACAGGUUCAUUGGCAGUAGGGCAGUUACAGAUUUCACACUGAAAAUCAUCAGAGUGGAGGAUGAGGACAUAGCCAUUUAUUACUGCAAGUAA
Chrysochloris asiatica (Cape golden mole) is the source of this 344-nucleotide non-coding RNA. The record is from the annotation of a RefSeq genome assembly. NCBI's taxonomy places the organism in Eukaryota, Metazoa, Chordata, Mammalia, Afrosoricida, Chrysochloridae.